This is a long non-coding RNA of Grus americana (Whooping crane), 279 nucleotides long. RefSeq lists it as uncharacterized. The transcript has 3 exons. Lineage: Eukaryota; Metazoa; Chordata; Aves; Gruiformes; Gruidae. The record is from RefSeq and is a predicted model, not a curated record.
UCCGGCCCGGGGCCGCCCCGCCUCCCGCGCCGCGGCCCGACCCCGUCAGCAAGGCAGUACCGCCUCGUCCGCCCAGCGCCCGAGGCAGGAGGAAGUAUUUUUGAUCACCCUGCGAUGGACCUUGGGAGUACUUGACUGUUGUUGCUGCAAGGCUAGCCUGGCAAGUGAGACAACUACAGUGACACUGUAAUGCUUAUACCAUGAUAUACUAGCAAACUGCAAAGACUGAACAAAAUGAACGUACUGACUUGCACUGAUACUGAAGAUGACACAAAGAGA